GAAAUGCGAUAAGUAAUGUGAAUUGCAGAAUUCCGUGAAUCAUCGAAUCUUUGAACGCAUAUUGCGCCCGGUGGUAUUCCACCGGGCAUGUCUGUCCGAGCGUCAUCGCUGUUCUUCCCACCUUCUUUUUUAUUUUUAAGGGGUGUUAGGGGUCUUGGGUUGUCGUCCCCGGAAAUCCGAUUCCGGAGGAUGGAUCCUAAAGGCAAUGGCGGUGCCGUUUUCCGGUCCUGAAGCGUCUUGGGCUUUGUCACACCCGCUUUCAUUGGACCCAAAGCGGCCACCGGUCUCGAAGAAAAGGGGGGAAGUUAGCGUGGGUAAUUGGCCUCCAUCCAUGCUCUCUCGUCUCCUUCUUCACUCUCUCCAUCCGGCUGACCUCGGAUCAGACAGGGAUACCCGCUGAACUUAA
This 406-nucleotide unclassified non-coding RNA is filed under the name uncultured Ophiognomonia. RNAcentral's name for it is "sequence contains ITS1". The stretch from base 1 to 105 matches the Rfam family "5.8S ribosomal RNA", at positions 50 to 154 of the family's 154-position model. Lineage: Eukaryota; Fungi; Ascomycota; Sordariomycetes; Diaporthales; Gnomoniaceae. The record is from RNAcentral.